GGUACAGGAGCUCUCCUAUAUCCCAAGCCGGUGCCCCGUUUCCCUGCUGGACUGUGACAUUUCCUGCCUCGCCUCCCCCUUCUUUUCUGCUCCUGUUAUUUUACAGCAGUGUGAGGAUGUUUGAUGAGAAAUGAAGCAGGCCUCCGAAGUUCCUAUGUUAAAGGAAAACAUAUGGAGGAUAUCCUGCAGAGCGCUCCUGCAAAGGCUACACACAACUGGGGGUGCACAGAACUUGUUGCUAAGUCCCUCAGGGAUGCUCAGUCUGGGAUGCUGCUACUGUUCACAGCCAGCACAAACUCAUGGUCAGAAGAAAAAAAUAACUAAAUAAAAAUGCAACUCCCUCUGGGUAUUUCCUAUAUUACAGGACAACUUUUCUUAUUUCAUUAGCAAAAUGAUUCAGGCUCAUGUGAUACAAAUAGUUUUGAUUUUAAACGUUUCAUGGCAAGCACAGUACUGUCCUAUAAUUGGUUCAAACCCAUUUCUAAAAGAACUGUUGGAUUACUAAAAGGGGCACGAAACCCAACAUUUUUCUUUCAUGAUUCAGAAAGAGCAUGGGAUUUUGAACAACUUUUCAAUUUACUUCUAUUAUCAAAUUUGCUUAAUUCUCUUGGUAUCCUUUGUUGAAGGAGUAGCAUUACACUACUGGGAGGUAGCUAAGCACAUCACGUGAACCAAUGACAAGAGGUAUAUAUGUGAAGUCACCAAUCAGCAGCUAGCUCCCAUUGCAGCUUCUAAGCCUGCCUAGGUAUGCUUUUUAAUAAAGGAUACAAAGUGAACAAAGACAAUUAGAUAAAAGCUGUAAAUUGAAAAAUUGUUUAACAUGGUAUGCUCUAUCUGAAUUAUGGAAGAACAAAUGUGGAUUUCAUGUCCCUUUAAUACACAGAGAUAAAUCUAAUACAUGUGUGUAAUUGUGGGCAGCUGUGAUUAACUUACAGUCCAACUCGGGUUCACAAAGUCAGCCCUGGAAUUAGGAUGUCUCAUGUCAGUUUGUGAGUGUGGAAUCUGGUUUACUACAAAUGCAGACUACAGAGCAAACAGUUCAUAUGCAGAAAAAGACCCACUCCCUUCAAAUGUGUCCUAUGCACGCGUUGACAAAACCUGGCAAUUCUGAACUGUGCAGUUCUGCAGUGUUGUAUUGUGCAAGUGCACCAUAUCUGUUGUGUAUAGGAUUAGGCAGAAUAACUGAAUAAUACAUUCUGUUUGCUCCAAAAUGUACUGGGCUAUGGUGGUUCCUUUCUAUGCCUAUAUAGAGACUGUUUGGGAGCCAUCUGGAAGUAUCCUGAUUUCUGCAGUUGCUGCCUCUAUCCAGUUAGCUGGACUACUGUGAAGUCCCAGCCUGCUCCAGUAGCACCACUGGGUGCACAACACUUGUGAAUCACCUUCAUCUUCGGGAUCUUGACCAUCCUCUGACAGAGUGCUGCAUUUCUAUAAGGAUUGAUUAUGGACUUUUUUUGGUUUUAUUUGGUUAAAUGUGUGUUUUUCCUUUUGUUUUACAUUAUGUUUUUUAGAGAGCGCCCCUAAAGGAGAUUUGUAUAUGUACAUUUAUUCCUUUUGUUUGCGCCAUGUCUCUCAACAUUCCAGAACAAAAACCACGGCCAAAAGACAAGCUCAGGAAAACCAGAGUUGUGUCUCUGUGGCACCAGGCCACGAGUCUAGGUUGUUGUGCAGUACAUGGGUGGACUGUGGGAGUGGCUAUUUUAUUAGGCAGAGAGGUGGUUUGUGACUGGGCAUGGGUCCAUUUCAAGUUCUGGAAAUUGAAAAUUCAAACAUUGCAGAGCUAAAUUACAUAAGGGGGCCAAAAUAAAUAAUGAAAGUAUACAGGAAAGUUGUUUCAUUAAAAAUAACAAUAUUAUAUAUAUAUAAUAUAAUAUAUCUCAAGGUGUGUACUGUCCCUUUAAAGCAAAGACUAAGGGGCCGAUUUAUCACGGCCCAAAUAGGCCCGUAUACACCUGUUUCCGCAAAACAGGAGUUAAGAAGCAGCGGUCUUAAGACCACUGCCCCUUAACUCAUCCGCCACCUCUGAGGCAGAGGACAGCAAUCAGCCCGAUCGGAUACGAUCGGGUUGAUUGACACCAUCUGCUACCAGCCGAUUGGCCGCAAAUCUGCAGGGGGCGGCAUUGCACAAGCAUUUCACUUUAAAUGCUUGUGCAAUGAUAAAUGCCGACCGCGUAUUGCUGCACUUUGAUAAAUUGGCCCCUAACCCUUGGAUGCCAGACAGGAAAGCAAUGUCCCUGAAUAUUUAAAAAGAUUUUUAAAAAUCAAGGUGCAUUUUAUAUUAUUAUGUAAAAAAAUGUUUAGAAAUCUGCUAUUAUAAUGGAGAGCCUGCUUGUUAGCUAUACCUGACCAAGAAUGUAGAGCUGUUUAUUCACUUUGUUCAAUUUUUUACAAGAUCAAUAAAAUUGUUCUGAUGUUU
Bombina bombina (fire-bellied toad) is the source of this 2413-nucleotide long non-coding RNA. RefSeq lists it as uncharacterized. The transcript has 2 exons. Lineage: Eukaryota; Metazoa; Chordata; Amphibia; Anura; Bombinatoridae. The record is from RefSeq and is a predicted model, not a curated record.